Molecule: ribosomal RNA, 467 nt
Filed under: uncultured bacterium
Lineage: Bacteria
Description: partial 16S ribosomal RNA
Rfam family: Bacterial small subunit ribosomal RNA
Source: RNAcentral
GACGAACGCUGGCGGCGUGCUUAACACAUGCAGGUCGAACGGAAAGGCCCUGCUUUUGUGGGGUGCUCGAGUGGCGAACGGGUGAGUAACACGUGAGUAACCUGCCCUUGACUUUGGGAUAACUUCAGGAAACUGGGGCUAAUACCGGAUAGGAGCUCCUGCUGCAUGGUGGGGGUUGGAAAGUUUCGGCGGUUGGGGAUGGACUCGCGGCUUAUCAGCUUGUUGGUGGGGUAGUGGCUUACCAAGGCUUUGACGGGUAGCCGGCCUGAGAGGGUGACCGGCCACAUGGGGACUGAGAUACGGCCCAGACUCCUACGGGAGGCAGCAGUGGGGAAUAUUGCACAAUGGGCGGAAGCCUGAUGCAGCAACGCCGCGUGCGGGAUGACGGCCUUCGGGUUGUAAACCGCUUUCGCUGUGACGAAGCGUGAGUGACGGUAAUGGGUAAAGAAGCACCGGCUAACUACGUG